This 497-nucleotide ribosomal RNA is filed under the name uncultured bacterium. RNAcentral's name for it is "partial 16S ribosomal RNA". It matches the Rfam family "Bacterial small subunit ribosomal RNA", at positions 28 to 507 of the family's 1533-position model. The record is from RNAcentral.
GAUGAACGCUGGCGGCGUGCCUAAUACAUGCAAGUAGAACGCUGAAGGAAGGAGCUUGCUCUUUCCGGAUGAGUUGCGAACGGGUGAGUAACGCGUAGGUAACCUGCCUGGUAGCGGGGGAUAACUAUUGGAAACGAUAGCUAAUACCGCAUAACAGUAGAUGUUGCAUGAUAUCUACUUAAAAGGUGCAAUUGCACCACUGCCAGAUGGACCUGCGUUGUAUUAGCUAGUUGGUGAGGUAACGGCUCACCAAGGCGACGAUACAUAGCCGACCUGAGAGGGUGAUCGGCCACACUGGGACUGAGACACGGCCCAGACUCCUACGGGAGGCAGCAGUAGGGAAUCUUCGGCAAUGGACGGAAGUCUGACCGAGCAACGCCGCGUGAGUGAAGAAGGUUUUCGGAUCGUAAAGCUCUGUUGUAAGAGAAGAACGAGUGUGAGAGUGGAAAGUUCACACUGUGACGGUAUCUUACCAGAAAGGGACGGCUAACUACGUG